UCUCUCAUUUUUAAGUAGAUUAUGAAAAAAGUUUGAAUGAUACAGAGAUUAGUAUGGUACCUGUGCAAGGAUGGUAUACAAAUUUGUAAAACAUUCAUAUUUUAA
Molecule: small nuclear RNA, 105 nt
Organism: Myodes glareolus (Bank vole)
Lineage: Eukaryota; Metazoa; Chordata; Mammalia; Rodentia; Cricetidae
Source: RefSeq, a predicted model, not a curated record